ACUAUUUUGGCAGAUAAUAUGUGAGGGAUUUAGGAUCCUUUUAAAUAGAGUAAUUCUAUAAAUAGUU
This 67-nucleotide transfer RNA is filed under the name Euplax sp. Its description in RNAcentral is "tRNA-Leu". The record is from RNAcentral. Lineage: Eukaryota; Metazoa; Arthropoda; Malacostraca; Decapoda; Macrophthalmidae.